This 460-nucleotide ribosomal RNA is filed under the name uncultured bacterium. Its description in RNAcentral is "partial 16S ribosomal RNA". It matches the Rfam family "Bacterial small subunit ribosomal RNA", at positions 338 to 795 of the family's 1533-position model. The record is from RNAcentral.
CCUACGGGAGGCAGCAGUGAGGAAUAUUGGUCAAUGGACGAGAGUCUGAACCAGCCAAGUCGCGUGAAGGAUGACUGCCCUAUGGGUUGUAAACUUCUUUUAUAAAGGAAUAAAACGAGGCACGUGUGCCUGUUUGCAUGUACUUUAUGAAUAAGGAUCGGCUAACUCCGUGCCAGCAGCGGCGGUAAUACGGAGGAUCCGAGCGUUAUCCGGAUUUAUUGGGUUUAAAGGGAGCGUAGAUGGGUUGUUAAGUCAGUUGUGAAAGUUUGCGGCUCAACCGUAAAAUUGCAAUUGAUACUGGCAGUCUUGAGUAAAGUUGAGGUAGGCGGAAUGCGGGGUGUAGCGGUGAAAUGCUUAGAUAUCACGAAGAACCCCGAUUGCGAAGGCAGCUUACUAAAUUGUGACUGACAUUGAGGCUCGAAAGUGUGGGUAUCAAACAGGAUUAGAUACCCGAGUAGUC